AACGAACGCUGGCGGCAGGCCUAACACAUGCAAGUCGAGCGGACCCUUCGGGGUUAGCGGCGGACGGGUGAGUAACGCGUGGGAAUAUGCCCUUCUCUACGGAAUAGUCCUGGGAAACUGGGGGUAAUACCGUAUACGCCCUUUGGGGGAAGGAUUUAUCGGGGAAGGAUUAGCCCGCGUUGGAUUAGGUAGUUGGUGGGGUAAUGGCCUACCAAGCCGACGAUCCAUAGCUGGUUUGAGAGGAUGAUCAGCCACACUGGGACUGAGACACGGCCCAGACUCCUACGGGAGGCAGCAGUGGGGAAUCUUAGACAAUGGGGGCAACCCUGAUCUAGCCAUGCCGCGUGAGUGAUGAAGGCCUUAGGGUUGAAAAGCUCUUUCAGCUGGGAAGAUAAUGACGGUACCAGCAGAAGAAGCCCCGGCUAACUCCGUG
This 433-nucleotide ribosomal RNA is filed under the name uncultured bacterium. Its description in RNAcentral is "partial 16S ribosomal RNA". It matches the Rfam family "Bacterial small subunit ribosomal RNA", at positions 29 to 507 of the family's 1533-position model. The record is from RNAcentral.